RNAcentral lists this ribosomal RNA (372 nucleotides) under uncultured bacterium. RNAcentral describes it as "bacterial SSU rRNA". It matches the Rfam family "Bacterial small subunit ribosomal RNA", at positions 523 to 898 of the family's 1533-position model. The record is from RNAcentral.
AUACGUAGGGGGCGAGCGUUGUCCGGAAUUAUUGGGCGUAAAAGGUACGUAGGCGGUUUAGAAAGUCAGGUGUUAAAGCGUGAGGCUCAACCUCAUAAAGCAUUUGAAACUUCUAGACUUGAGUAGUGGAGAGGAAAGUGGAAUUCCUAGUGUAGCGGUGAAAUGCGUAGAUAUUAGGAAGAAUACCAGUGGCGAAGGCGACUUUCUGGACACAAACUGACGCUGAGGUACGAAAGCGUGGGGAGCAAACAGGAUUAGAUACCCUGGUAGUCCACGCUGUAAACGAUGAAUGUUAGGUGUCGGGUGUCAAAGCUCGGUGCCGCAGUUAACGCAUUAAACAUUCCGCCCGGGGAGUACGAUGGCAACAUUGAA